CCUACGUGCGGCAGCAGUGAGGAAUAUUGGUCAAUGGACGAGAGUCUGAACCAGCCAAGUAGCGUGAAGGAUGACUGCCCUAUGGGUUGUAAACUUCUUUUAUAUGGGAAUAAAAUGUUCCACGUGUGGGAUGUUGUAUGUACCAUAUGAAUAAGGAUCGGCUAACGCCGUGCCAGCAGCCGCGGUAAUACGGGGGAUCCGCGCGUUAUCCGUAUUUAGUGGGUUUAAAGGGAGCGUAGGUGGAUUGUUAAGUCAGUUGUGAAAGUUUGCGGCUCAAACGUAAAAUUGCAGUUGAAACGGGCAGUCUUGAGUAGAGUAGAGGUGGGCGGAAUUCGUGGUGUAGCGGUGAAAUGCGUAGAUAUCACGAAGAACUCCGAUUGCGAAGGCAGCUCACUGGCCUGACACUGACACUGAGGCUCGAAAGUGUGGGUAUCAAACAGGAUUAGAUACCCUGGUAGUC
This 460-nucleotide ribosomal RNA is filed under the name uncultured bacterium. Its description in RNAcentral is "partial 16S ribosomal RNA". It matches the Rfam family "Bacterial small subunit ribosomal RNA", at positions 338 to 795 of the family's 1533-position model. The record is from RNAcentral.